This 1130-nucleotide long non-coding RNA is filed under the name Equus asinus (donkey). RNAcentral's name for it is "lncRNA (ENSEASG00005036029.1)". Lineage: Eukaryota; Metazoa; Chordata; Mammalia; Perissodactyla; Equidae. The record is from RNAcentral.
GGUUGGUUUCCAGUCAGGGAAGCUCACCAACUGUCUGUCAGUUGUCAUACUGUGGUGGCUGCGUGUUCUUCUGAUGCUGAAAGCUAUGCCACCAGUAUUUCAAAUACCAGCAGGGUCACCCAUGGUGGACGGAUUUCAGCGGAGCUUCCAGACUAGACAGACUAGGAAGAAGGACCUGGCCACCCACUUCCGAAAAAAUUGGUCGUGAAAACCCUAUGAAUAGCAGCAGAGCAUUGUCUGAUACAGCGUCGGAAGUAUUGGCGUGAUGGAAAUCCAAGUGCUUGGUUUGCUCCUACAGAAACCAAAGAAGUGUUUUGCAUCUUCCUGCCAAAUGCUUCCCCUGACCUUCCCCAGUAUUGUCUGUAGGAAGAUGAAGAUCCUUUUGCUCAAAGAAGCCAAGAGCUUGCAAGAGAUGAUAGUUAAGAGGUGGAACCAAGGCUUAAAUCCAAGGCCUUUCAUCCAUACCAAAGUACUUUGCUUACUGACUGUACUGUAUUAGGUCAUUGAUGAGUUGUCUCUUGCUUGAAAUCUUUUCUUACUUGGGCUUUCUUAGCUGUAGACCCCUGUUAAUUUCCUUCAGUUUCUGCUGUUUAUUUCCCUGCAAAAUUCCCCUCUUUCCACCUCAAGAAUUUUAAGAACAGGAGAGGGUUACUUGUGUAUCAGUGAUCAUUUCACUAUGUCUAAUCAAACUCUGAAAUUAACUGGAAAUUUCCUGCUUGACUUGCAGAGUCGCUCUCUGUACAUUUUGUGCUUUCCAGCCUCAUCUUCUCUUGACCACCUUUCUGUGACUGCGUCUUUCAUUCACGUUCACUGCUUCAUCGCUUACUUCCUUUCUUCCCCUCAAGCCAUUACAUCUGUCCUUCCUUACAAAAUAUGUUUCUUGUUGGUUGAGUCUGUUUUUAAUUCAAGACUUCAGUCAUCCUUCAUUGCCUGGGGUACUUACAGCUUGUCUGAAAGCCCAUUUGUAAUUUUACCCCUUUACUUCAGAUGUCUCUUUCUUUUCUCCUUUUAAGAUUCUUGUUCUAUUGAUUUUCUUAUAGUGUUAUCCCUUUAUCUAUUGCUUGUUCAAGCUUUACUAUUUUUCUGUGCUCACUAUAACUGAAUGAGUUGAAAUUUAUCUGUUAAUAAUC